GGGGCCUACGGGAGGCAGCAGUGGGGAAUUUUCCGCAAUGGGCGAAAGCCUGACGGAGCAAUACCGCGUGAGGGAGGACGGCCCAUGGGUUGUAAACCUCUUUUGUUAGGGAAGAUAAUGACGGUACCUAACGAAUAAGCAUCGGCUAACUCCGUGCCAGCAGCCGCGGUAAGACGGAGGAUGCAAGCGUUAUCCGGAAUUAUUGGGCGUAAAGCGUACGUAGGCUGUUUCAUAAGUCUGUUGUCAAAGCCCGAGGCUCAACCUUGGAUCGGCAAUGGAAACUGUGAGACUAGAGAGAGAUAGGGGCAGGAGGAAUUCCAGGUGUAGCGGUGAAAUGCGUAGAUAUCUGGAAGAACACCAGUGGCGAAAGCGUCCUGCUGGAUCUCAACUGACGCUGAAGUACGAAAGCUAGGGGAGCGAAUGGGAUUAGAUACCCCAGUAGUCCUAGCCGUAAACGAUGGGUACUAGGUGUUGGUCGUAUCGACCCGAUCAGUGCCGUAGCUAACGCGUUAAGUACCCCGCCUGGGGAGUACGGUCGCAAGAUUGAAACUCAAAGGAAUUGACGGGG
Molecule: ribosomal RNA, 568 nt
Filed under: uncultured Limnothrix sp.
Lineage: Bacteria; Bacillati; Cyanobacteriota; Cyanophyceae; Pseudanabaenales; Pseudanabaenaceae
Description: bacterial SSU rRNA
Rfam family: Bacterial small subunit ribosomal RNA
Source: RNAcentral